This 5711-nucleotide long non-coding RNA is filed under the name Salvia miltiorrhiza (redroot sage). Its description in RNAcentral is "long non-coding RNA (SMIL_LNC000614)". Lineage: Eukaryota; Viridiplantae; Streptophyta; Magnoliopsida; Lamiales; Lamiaceae. The record is from RNAcentral.
AACAAUAUAAUUAAGUUGUGGAAUAGGCUGGUGAAGAUUGAAGCUAAACGAAAGGUGGCGGAGAAGAGUGAAAGGUGUAGACUGCUUUCCUUUUGCUGUUUGUAUUGUUAUUGGGUAGAGUUUGAUGUUUUGGAGAUUUUUGUCCACAUAUAGCUUAUGCACUCAUAUCACUAAUUCUUUAUAGAUAGCAACCACAUAAUACAAUCCAACACCAUCCUUCAAUCCACUAUCAUGAAUCACUAGUGAAAUAAAGUGUGUAACAUUUAACCACACAACAUGCACAUAUCUCCAAUUAAUACAGAUAGCAGAAACACAAACAACUUAAAUAUGGCAAACAUAGCACACUUCUUAGGCCACAAAUGAAAAAGAGAUAGGUAGAAGUGAGAAUAGAGAUACCCAACAGAAAUUAGAUUAAAAUAAUAGAAACACAGUGCAUAACUGCAUCUGCUGGAACACCCUUCAGAAUAAGUUAGAUAAAAAGAACUUCCCAGACGCAUAUAAAAAAGAGUUGAUCUUGAUCUUGGAAUUUGGAUUAAAACAUGCAUAGCCAAAAAACAUUACAUACUCAAAGCUAAUGAGUUUCAGCCAGCUUAGAGCCCAAAUCAAGAAGUAAGAAAUUUCCUAGUAACUCUAAAGCAUGUAAAUUUCAAGCCAGCCAAAUCCAAACAUCAGGACUUGUAUUAAGUACCAUCUUCAAUACCAGCUAAUCCUUCAAUGUUUAAACAAACAAAUUACAAGUAAUAAGAAAUCUAAUAAGCACCUCCAGUUCUUGGGGAAAGAAGGCGAGAUUCUCCGGAUGACGCCGCUGCCGCAGUGAAGAAAACUCGCGACCGCGGCGACAGCGAGGAAGAGCGGAGGAGCAAGCAAUUCGCAGGGUAUGCGGAGGAGUCGGUGCAACUGGACAAGUACGACAGCUGCAAGUUCCUUUUUGAGCGUUCCUAUCGAUUUGAACUCACGAGCAAGAGGAUUUAUGUAAUACCCCGUUCCUUUUUGCUAAGUUUAGAAUAAUUUUUGAACUUAGAUAUUAAGUUGAUUCACGUCGGAUAAAAGAAAAUAAAUUUAUUUUUAAUUCCAACAAAAAUGAUUUACAAAAUUAUUUGUAAAUUUAGUUAUUAAAUUUAUAUGCAUUGCAUAUUUAUUUAAUUUAGCAUUCAAGUAUUUUCACGAGCUAUUUAUUUAAGCAAACACUGAACGAUUAUUACAGUUUUCAUAGUAUAAACCGGAAAACUUUAUUUUAUUUUACUCUCCCACCUACCCCUCCCACACCCACCUACUCCAUUCUUUUUGCAAACUUUUGCAAACUUUAUAGCUGGUUGAUCCGAGCUUCAAUCUUCCAUUCUACACAAUUAUUCCACAUAUCUCAUCUCUCUCGCAAGAAAGGUUCAAGAACAUAAUCAUCCACCAUUCAAGUACUCACAACUCACAAGGUUUUAUCUUGAACUCCUUGCUUAUCCUAUUUUUUUUUAACAGAGAUUAAAGCCCUUAUUUUUGUGUUCCACAUUCUGAAAAAUCAGCUGCACAGACAAAGAAACGCACAUAUGCAUACAUCUAUUCUGUGUAUAUAUAUAAAUAUGUGUGUAUCCGCAUAAACAAUCGAACCAAGUUUUUAGUAUGUAUAACAAAAUUCAUUUACUGAUUUAAAGAAAAGACUUAUGUUUGUACAUAUGAAAGAAUCGACUUGAUAAAAGAGAAGUCUUGAAGUUUUGAUUUUGUUUCCCUGCCUUCGAUCAUGCUGUGUUGAGUCGAGUCAGGGGGGAUAAGGGUUGACGGUGGUGCGACUGGUUGUUACCAUCGGCGGCGACCCCGUCGUCUGUCGCCGGAAGUUUCAGAGAGGGAGUGGGAGUGGUGUGCUGACGGUGGCGGCGAGGAGUCGUCAUCGUCGCCUGAAAUUUGGAGGAGGGGGCGCAGCAACAGUAGCUUCUCGCUGCUGACUCACCGGACGUUCCAGAGAGGAAUCGGCGGCAGCGCGAUUUGGUGAGGAAGAGGGAGAUGGUGGUGGUGUCGUUGCAGUAGCCGGAGAGAGAGAUCGGAGGGAGGCAGCGGCGUCCGUCGUCGCCAAGGGGGAGAGGAAGAACAGAGGCUGUUCCGCCGGGUUCGGUGAACAGAGGGGAGAACGGCGGGCGGCUCCGGCUGCUGUUGGGUGCGGUGGGGGAAGAGUGAGAGGGAGACUUGAGGUGAGGAAAGGAGAGAGGUCGAAGGGAAGAGAGAGGAGGCGGAGCCGCCGGCCUCCGGGGACGGCGCUGCCGUCCGGUGGCGGCGGCAGGAGAGCGCAGAGAGCGAGAGAGAGUGAGCGGCUGAGAGGGAGAGAGAGAUAUGUUGUGUGCGUGAGAUGAAGGAGAGGGGAAAGGGUAGAGUGGGCUUGAGGGAUUUGGGCCGAUAUUUGGGCCGAUUUUUAUGAGUGAUGGGCUUCGAUUUUUAAUAGAUUUGGGCUGCGAUUUUUAAAAGCUUGGGCCGAUUUUUAUUUUAUUUAGCUGGGCCCGAUUUAUUUUAUUCAGUCUGGGCCAUUCCUAUUUUAUUGAGUUGGGCCUCAUCUUUUAAAUUUAUAUGGGCUAUUAUUUAUUUAAGCAUGGACUCUAUUUCAUCUAUUUAAAUGGCUUCCCUAUUUUAUUAAACUAGACUAUUAAUUAGUUUGAUUAAUUAUUUUUAAAGACUUUGGAUUGCCUUCAAUUAAUUAAAUUGAGUUUCUUAUUUAAUUAAUUGAUAUUAUUAAUUUGACUAUUAUUUAUAGUUUUCAUAAUAAUAUUAAAUUAUUAUUAUGUGCAUAUUUUAAGUAAAUUACUUAUUAUAUGCUAAGCAUGACAUGAAAUUGCAUUAUAUUUUGCAAUAAAAGAAUUUAUGAUUUAAUUGGUUUUAUUUAUAAUUCCAAUUAUUAAAGAAAGUCGAGUAAGAAUAUUGUUGGUGUUCUUAACUCAAGAGAAAUGUUUUCAAUUAUUUAUUCAUUAAAUUUUGAAAACCCGGCUAAGUGAAUCAUAGAAUAUUAAGCACUACACCAUGACUUAAGAUUAGCUUCAAGAGACCUAUUAAGAAUAGAAUUUCUUGUAGGCUUUGUGACCAGGGGGAUUAGCGCUGUUUUCCCAAGACAGGUUUAUAUGUGUUAUGAUCUUCAGGCUUUGCCUAGCCAGGUGGGCAUUACUUUCCAAAUGUACAAAGUAUGAUUGAGUUAUUAAGCUCUAAAUAUUUCAAUGAAAUGCAAAUUAUUUAUUUAAUGUAAUGAAAACUGUUUAUCCAAUAAAAUGAUUUAUGUGCACUCUGCUCUGUUUAAGGCUCGCGCAGUUAAUCAAUUGAGGUUCUCUUAUGACCUAAUACGUUGUUUGAGAAUUGUGUACACUUGUUAGUUGACUCGGUGGGUUGAUCUCCAUCGGGCUCUAACCAGAGGCGUUAUAAGGGUGCUCGGCUGGAUGUGUUCCGGAGCAUGAGAAAUAUCAGGCCUGCCUGGGUAGCGUCCCGAGGUCAAUUCAACUUGUCUGAGUUACGCCCUCAGGGCAAGUAAGCGGGAGACAGAGAUCCGUCGUGGCUAAAGGUCCGGGAUCACAGCGAGUAACAGAAAGGGAGUGUGACAUGUGCGCACAAAUGAAAGAAAAUGUUUUAACAUGCUUAGAAGUACUUCUUUCAAUUUAAAACCUUCUAAGUCAUGUCAAGUAUGAUUGGAUAAACUGUCUUUAUUAAAAUAUGAGAUGUUUCAGAAAAUGCAUGCCCACUAAGUACAUUAGUACUUAGCCCAAAAAUACUUUCAAAUGUUUUCAGGUUGGCUGGCCGGUGCUGACGGGACGGAGCUGAGGCUAGCGAUAAAUUCCUAUGUUAGACUUCCGCUGUAGCAAUUACUCAUAUCAGUCUUUUGUUUUCCCAACUUAAGAUCUUCAUGUUAAAUUUCAAAUGAUAUACCUGACCGAGCUUAGACUCUUCACUACUUAAUUUAUGCCAAUGAAUGUCAGUUGUCAGAAGCAUGAAACAAAACUUGUGAUCCAAAGGGGCAUAGCCCGACUUUCUAUCCUAUUUCGGGUUUUUACAAGGUUGUUCCUUGUUUAUUUCUAUGAAUUAUUUAUACCUCGAUUAUAUUUAUUCUUUCAAGAAUUGGGGUGUGACAAUUUAAUACUUCCACAACCUACAGAUUACUACCAAAGUUAAACAACAUCCCAAGAUAAAAAUACAUAAGACGGGACGGGAGUGAUUCAAAUAAAAACCAUCUUUUUGUGAGAACUCUACACUAAACUUAUAAAGUAACUGCACUGAGCAAGCCUAUAAGUAACUACAUUGGACUCUACAAUCAGUGAGUUAGCAAAUAUUGUGAAUUACUUAGAGAUUCAGUGCAGUAGGUUCAUUGUAGAAUUCUGACCCUUGUCACAAUAAGAAGGUUUUUAUUUAAACCCACCCACUUCCUCACAUGACAUUUAUAAUGGACGCUACCUUUUCAUGUAGGAGCAUGAUCGCGAGGACAUCUUGUCGAGCCUUCCAAUCGCAGUAUUGUAUAUCGUAUCGAGCCACCUCUAGAGCUUGAUAUGCAUCCAAGAACUUUCACUAUUGGAUCUCUUUAUAAAAAGCUUGCUUUGUCCGAAGCUGAACCCCCGAUUCUACGACGACUCCCCGCCUUCCCUAGAUGAAGAAGACGACAGCGAGGAGGAAAGCUCCGCCGAAUGGACUCGAGAGUUGCGACCUCCGCGUCUUAAUCCCAAAAUCGCCCGGCGAUUGAUCAUCCGCCAGCAAAAUUGAGCUGCUAAUCUCAGGAAUCUGGACCUUCAACUUCAAUCCGAACAACAACAGCCGAUUAAUCGACUUCGAGAAUUUGCAGUCGCAGCCGCCGCCGCUCCGAUCGUCGGCGAUCGAGUCAAUUAGGGCGAGCCCGAUCAAUUUGUUGGCAGCGGCGAAGUCGCGGUGGGUAUUGGUGGCAGACGGAGGCUAAAGUCACAACAGAAUGAAGAGAAAUCCUAUGCAUUUCCCUCUACAUCUCUCGAGAUUCUGAGGAACAACUACACAAGCAAGCUGCGCAAAGGGAAUGGCAAAAAACUACACGGGCUGAGCUCCGAGAGGGCACAACACUCGCCUCCCGCUGGAUCCCUAAGAAUCACCGCCGCUGGAGCACCGCCCGCUGGAGAACGCCGCGCUGCUGGAGUACCGCUGAUGGAGAAAGGAACUCUGUUGCCGUCGCUGGAGAGGAAAGGUAGCCGCCGCCGCCUUCAAUUUCUGGGGGAGAGAAAUUAGAAAAACUCAAAUUCACAACAGAUCUGGGGAAGAUCUGUCGAGAGAGAGAGAGAUCUGUCGCCAUCUCCUCUGUUGAUCGCCGACCAGCUCGUCCCUAGAAACGACGGUGCGUCGGUGAGAUCCUCCACAGCUGCCGCGGAAUUCGAAGUGUUGCCGCACUCAUCCUCCUCUACUUCGAAGGAAUUGGUGGCGGGCGGAGGCUAAAGUCGCAGCGGGGUGAAGCAGGAGAUGACGAGGGCGGCGGCGCUUCGCGGCGGGGGGCGAAGCAGGAGAUGGCGGAGGCGACGAGGUCGAGGCGGUGUAGAUCUCGUUAGGCGGUGGCGCAGAGGUCGGCAUCGGAGAGUGUGGCGGCGGUGGUGAAGCAGGAAGUGGUGGAGGAAGAGAGAGGUGGUGGCGGCGGCGGUAGUGUGAGAGAGAGUAUUUCAGAAAAAUGGUUAAUUUUUAUGUUUUUAAAGUUAAGGGUAUUUCCGUCUUUUCAAUCAAAAAGUGGACAAUUUUUAUUAUUUUUAUCUUAG